Molecule: ribosomal RNA, 398 nt
Filed under: uncultured bacterium
Lineage: Bacteria
Description: partial 16S ribosomal RNA
Rfam family: Bacterial small subunit ribosomal RNA
Source: RNAcentral
AUACGUUGGGUGUGAGCGUUGUCCGGAAUUACUGGGAGUAAGGAGCUCGUAGGUGGUUUGUUGCGUCGUCUGUGAAAUUCCUGGGCUUAACUCCGGGCGUGCAGGCGAUACGAGCAUAACUUGAGUACUGUAGGGGAGACUGGAAUUCCUGGUGUAGCGGUGAAAUGCGCAGAUAUCAGGAGGAACACCGGCGGCGAAGGCGGGUCUCUGGGCAGUAACUGACGCUGAGGAGCGAAAGCAUGGGUAGCGAACAGGAUUAGAUACCCUGGUAGUCCAUGCCGUAAACGGUGGGCGCUAGGUGUAGGGGUCUUCCACGACUUCUGUGCCGUAGCUAACGCAUUAAGCGCCCCGCCUGGGGAGUACGGCCGCAAGGCUAAAACUCAAAUGAAUUGACGGGG